CUACGGGUCGCUGCAGUGGGGAAUAUUGGACAAUGGGGGAAACCCUGAUCCAGCAAUGCCGCGUGUGUGAAGAAGGCCUGCGGGUUGUAAAGCACUUUCGGUUGGGAGGACUGCUUCUAGCACUAAUAUUGUUGGAAGUUGACGUUACCUUCAGAAGAAGCACCGGCUAACUCCGUGCCAGCAGCCGCGGUAAUACGGCGGGUGCAAGCGUGAAUCGGAAUUACUGGGCGUAAAGCGCGCGUAGGCGGCUAGAUCAGUCGGGUGUGAAAGCCCCGGGCUUAACCUGGGAACUGCAUCCGAUACUGUCUAGCUUGAGUACAGGAGAGGGGAGGGGAAUUCCACAUGUAGCGGUGAGAUGCGUAGAUAUGUGGAGGAACACCAAUGGCGAAGGCAGCUCUCUGGCCUGAUACUGACGCUGAGGUGCGAAAGCGUGGGGAGCAAACAGGAUUAGAUACCCGGGUAGUC
Molecule: ribosomal RNA, 465 nt
Filed under: uncultured bacterium
Lineage: Bacteria
Description: partial 16S ribosomal RNA
Rfam family: Bacterial small subunit ribosomal RNA
Source: RNAcentral